GACGGAGGAUGCAAGCGUUAUCCGGAUUCAUUGGGCGUAAAGGGUGCGUAGGCGGCGCGGUAAGUCGGGUGUGAAAUCUCGGAGCUUAACUCCGAAACUGCAUUCGAUACUGCCGUGCUUGAGGACUGGAGAGGAGACUGGAAUUUACGGUGUAGCGGUGAAAUGCGUAGAUAUCGUAAGGAAGACCAGUGGCGAAGGCGGGUCUCUGGACAGUUCCUGACGCUGAGGCACGAAGGUCAGGGGAGCAAACGGG
This 253-nucleotide ribosomal RNA is filed under the name uncultured bacterium. RNAcentral describes it as "partial 16S ribosomal RNA". It matches the Rfam family "Bacterial small subunit ribosomal RNA", at positions 524 to 776 of the family's 1533-position model. The record is from RNAcentral.